ACCAAACUGUUGCCUCGGCGGGAUCUCUGCCCCGGGUGCGUCGCAGCCCCGGACCAAGGCGCCCGCCGGAGGACCAACCAAAACUCUUUUUGUAUACCCCCUCGCGGGUUUUUUAUAAUCUGAGCCUUCUCGGCGCCUCUCGUAGGCGUUUCGAAAAUGAAUCAAAACUUUCAACAACGGAUCUCUUGGUUCUGGCAUCGAUGAAGAACGCAGCGAAAUGCGAUAAGUAAUGUGAAUUGCAGAAUUCAGUGAAUCAUCGAAUCUUUGAACGCACAUUGCGCCCGCCAGUAUUCUGGCGGGCAUGCCUGUCCGAGCGUCAUUUCAACCCUCGAACCCCUCCGGGGGGUCGGCGUUGGGGAUCGGCCCUGCCUUUGGCGGUGGCCGUCUCCGAAAUACAGUGGCGGUCUCGCCGCANCCUCUCCUGCGCAGUAGUUUGCACACUCGCAUCGGGAGCGCGGCGCGUCCACAGCCGUUAAACACCCAACUUCUGAAAUGUUGACCUCGGAUCAGGUAGGAAUACCCGCUGAACUUAAGCAUAUCAAUAAGCGAA
This 550-nucleotide ribosomal RNA is filed under the name Trichoderma harzianum. RNAcentral's name for it is "eukaryotic LSU rRNA". The stretch from base 166 to 319 matches the Rfam family "5.8S ribosomal RNA". The record is from RNAcentral. Lineage: Eukaryota; Fungi; Ascomycota; Sordariomycetes; Hypocreales; Hypocreaceae.